UUUAGUGUUUAUAUAUAUAUGUAAUGUUCUUUUCCCCCCUUUUUCACAGCCGCUUCCCCCCUUUUUCACAGCCGCUCUAUUACAUUCCGCUUCUCUUUAGGGUUUCGCUGCUCUUGGGAGUUCUCUCGAAUCGCUCAAAUCGAUGGCCAAAUCUCUGGGAGCUGGUUCCAACGGUGGUAAUGGAGGGGGGAAGGGAAGAGGUGGACGUGGAAAUGGUGGUGCAGAAGGAAGGGGUCGUGGAGGUGGUGGACGCGGACAUGAUAUUGGUGAAGGACGGGGUCGUGGAGUUGGGGAACAACGAAAUAUCAAUGAGGAGGAAAUGGGUGAUCAUAGAGCAGAUAUGGAGGCAGAUAUUGAUGAGGAGGGUAAUGGUGAUGAAGGUCAUGAAGAACAGGCAACACAAACACAGGAGAGUCGAAUUGUACGAAGAGUUACGUUUGAGAGGGCCAACCGUAGUUGUUCUGUUGGUGAUUACCAUAAGAAACCAGCCAGGGAUGAAGAUAGGAGCAUUGUUCAUUUUCUCGAAGGAAGAAAUAUCAGGGAGGCUAAGAAGAAAAAGACUCUAAGCUAUAUUAUAAAAGUGAAUUGGCGUGAAGAUACGCAUGAAUCAAAGGGACUGGAACGUGAAGCCUUUUAUGACCGCUGUCUUAGGGAUUUCAAGAAAUACUAUGCCUAUCCAAAGGAUAGUGAUCCAGAUGAGGGGGAUAGGGCUGUGAGAGUUUGUGAAGAAGAACUGGAAGAAUCUUCCUUAUCAGGAAAAGAAGAGGGCAGAGCAAUCAGCUGUAUAUGCAAGGAGGGGAGGACUGAAAACUGCAACUCGACAUACUUUCAAGCCUCAUUACUUUAGCCAACGCAUCUGGGACAACCUCAAUUCGUAUUGGGGGUCUGACCUAUUUAAAAAAAGGUCAGCUAAUGCUAAGAAAGCUCGAGCAAAGGUGGAGCAUAUUCACCACAGUGGGGCCAAGCCUUUUAGCCAGAGAAGGGAGGAACUUGAGGAGAAAAAGCAAGGGCUUGUUUCCGAUAUGGAGUUCCUGGACCAUGUGUACCACUUUGAUGAUCCGGCUUCUAAAAAGCUAAGGAUCUUGUGUUGAGGGCUUCAGCUGAGGUAAAUCGUAUGGUACGUUCCUUGGAGAUGAGGGAGGUGCCACGUGCAUUCUUAAAUGAACAGAUGCAUCGCCUGGCCAAUGAAGCCUUUCCAGACCGUGAUAACCCAGUUGAGCAGGAACUAUGGACCCAGUACAUGCAACUAGCGACGGCUUUUGUUGUUGAAGCCUUGAAAUUGAAUGAUAAGGUCAUUUUGGAGGGAACUAGCAUUGAAAAGGCACCAAUAGAUCGUGAUACCUCUCGCACCAAUGAUGAAGAUGACGACGAAGAUGAUGAAGCGGAGGACUUCCCCCUUCAUUAGCUGCACAAGGUUUAUCGAGGACUUAACUUUUGGAACAAAUCUUUUGAGACUUGACUGUAAAGACUAAACAUCACUGACGUAGAUGUAUAUUUUGCGUACAAACUCAGUUAGUAGUACGUAGUCAGUCUAUAGGGCCGUAGGGAGCCUUUAACUGAAUUUGACUAAACGCUUAGUAGGUUGAACAUAUUUUGCUAAAUAUUCUGCGGAACCUAGCAGAACUUAUGGUAUCCAAGCUUCCUAUAUGAUCUGAUGUUGCAUGUAUUUGAAGGCUGCAUGUAUUUGAAGUAGUUUAUCUUUUGCAA
This is an RNA transcript of Daucus carota subsp. sativus, 1707 nucleotides long. RefSeq lists it as uncharacterized. The transcript has 7 exons. Lineage: Eukaryota; Viridiplantae; Streptophyta; Magnoliopsida; Apiales; Apiaceae. The record is from RefSeq and is a predicted model, not a curated record.